This 68-nucleotide transfer RNA is filed under the name Cryptotermes havilandi. Its description in RNAcentral is "tRNA-Val". Lineage: Eukaryota; Metazoa; Arthropoda; Insecta; Blattodea; Kalotermitidae. The record is from RNAcentral.
CAGAUUUGCCUGAAGUUGGAGUUUCAUUUACAUUGAAUUUUUUAGUCGUGCGAUUCGACGUUGUCUGA